GAUGAACGCUAGCUACAGGCUUAACACAUGCAAGUCGAGGGGCAGCAUGGUCUUAGCUUGCUAAGGCCGAUGGCGACCGGCGCACGGGUGAGUAACACGUAUCCAACCUGCCGUCUACUCUUGGACAGCCUUCUGAAAGGAAGAUUAAUACAAGAUGGCAUCAUGAGUCCGCAUGUUCACAUGAUUAAAGGUAUUCCGGUAGACGAUGGGGAUGCGUUCCAUUAGAUAGUAGGCGGGGUAACGGCCCACCUAGUCUUCGAUGGAUAGGGGUUCUGAGAGGAAGGUCCCCCACAUUGGAACUGAGACGCGGUCCAAACUCCUACGGGAGGCAGCAGUGAGGAAUAUUGGUCAAUGGGCGCAGGCCUGAACCAGCCAAGUAGCGUGAAGGAUGACUGCCCUAUGGGUUGUAAACUUCUUUUAUAAAGGAAUAAAGUCGGGUAUGUAUACCCGUUUGCAUGUACUUUAUGAAUAAGGAUCGGCUAACUCCGUG
RNAcentral lists this ribosomal RNA (490 nucleotides) under uncultured bacterium. RNAcentral describes it as "partial 16S ribosomal RNA". It matches the Rfam family "Bacterial small subunit ribosomal RNA", at positions 28 to 507 of the family's 1533-position model. The record is from RNAcentral.